RNAcentral lists this long non-coding RNA (1089 nucleotides) under Macaca mulatta (Rhesus monkey). RNAcentral describes it as "lncRNA (ENSMMUG00000038049.2)". Lineage: Eukaryota; Metazoa; Chordata; Mammalia; Primates; Cercopithecidae. The record is from RNAcentral.
AUUGCGGCGACCGUGGAGACUUUUAAAAUAGAGGCCAACAUGACCGGGCAAGAAGAGCAGGGUCCUUCCUUCAGGUGUUUGGGACUCAACUGAGGGUGUGGGUGCCCCGCGGUGGGGGCUGAACCUUCCUGGGGUGUGGAGAGACGAAGGAGCCCAGAUCCAAGUUCCUUCGUUCCCGCUUUGGCACAAGUUGCCCGGGCGGUCUCAUGAGAGAGAGAGAGAGCUGGGACCCUCCUGGCCCCAGUGAGUGUGGUGUCUUGCUCCGGGUGUCCUGGGGCAACUUUCUAUAUAAAGGCGGGACGUGGGGAGGAUGAGACAGUUAACGUGAGACAAGGGUGUUGACUGUGCAGCGCAGAACCAGUAGUUUGUAGAGAAGAACCAGGUGUGAUGUUGAAUCUGCUAGACAGGCUACUGAAGCAAAAGUCAAGAGAUCCAGAUCCCAUCAUGGGGACACUUUAGAUUGAUACCGGAAAAGCCAUUUCCUAUUGAGCCCAAAAUGAAGAGAGUGCAAAUAAAGAGAAGGCAGGAAUCACAAGCCCUUGACAGACACAUUGCCACCUACAGGACCCUGCACCCAGAUUUCAUCUGCACAAUCAGCUUCUUCAAAGAGAGAGAGGCUGUCAAGGAUAGCCUUGCAAGGAAGCUACUUUCCUUCGGCACACAUAGACAGGACUCUACCAGAUAGCAAACAGGAUGUACACUGCAGUGUUUGACUUUCAUGACUGUCCCCACACAGCACCACUUAGUGGAUAAGUCUGUCCAACUCUGGGGUUCAUUAAGAAGAAAUGUCUUUUCGGCAGAUCUAAGGUACCUUUUCCAAUUUCACCUUUAUAAAGAAUAGAGUCAAUGUAUUGCUUUCUUUAUCGGUUUGGCAUAUUUUUUAGUUGGCUUAGAGCUCAGACUUGUAGAGGGGGUAUAUUUGGGGAACCCCUUUAAGUCCCAAGCAUUUUGGAGUAAGACCAUAGUAAUAGUUGGGGAGCCAGCAAAAAGAGGAAAGAGGAGAAGAGCUGCAGGCCUGUUGUUAGACCUAUCCCCCAAACCCCCAGGGACAUAGCAGAACAUAUGCUGGUUAAUUGCUUAUUACUACCA